GAUGAACGCUAGCUACAGGCUUAACACAUGUAAGUCGAGGGGCAGCAUGGUCUUAGCUUGCUAAGGCCGAUGGCGACCGGCGCACGGGUGAGUAACACGUAUCCAACCUGCCGUCUACUCUUGGACAGCCUUCUGAAAGGAAGAUUAAUACAAGAUGGCAUCAUGAGUCCGCAUGUUCACAUGAUUAAAGGUAUUCCGGUAGACGAUGGGGAUGCGUUCCAUUAGAUAGUAGGCGGGGUAACGGCCCACCUAGUCUUCGAUGGAUAGGGGUUCUGAGAGGAAGGUCCCCCACAUUGGAACUGAGACACGGUCCAAACUCCUACGGGAGGCAGCAGUGAGGAAUAUUGGUCAAUGGGCGAGAGCCUGAACCAGCCAAGUAGCGUGAAGGAUGACUGCCCUAUGGGUUGUAAACUUCUUUUAUAAAGGAAUAAAGUCGGGUAUGCAUACCCGUUUGCAUGUACUUUAUGAAUAAGGAUCGGCUAACUCCGUGCCAGCAGCCGCGGUAAUACGGAGGAUCCGAGCGUUAUCCGGAUUUAUUGGGUUUAAAGGGAGCGUAGAUGGAUGUUUAAGUCAGUUGUGAAAGUUUGCGGCUCAACCGUAAAAUUGCAGUUGAUACUGGAUAUCUUGAGUGCAGUUGAGGCAGGCGGAAUUCGUGGUGUAGCGGUGAAAUGCUUAGAUAUCACGAAGAACUCCGAUUGCGAAGGCAGCCUGCUAAGCUGCAACUGACAUUGAGGCUCGAAAGUGUGGGUAUCAAACAGGAUUAGAUACCCUGGUAGUCCACACGGUAAACGAUGAAUACUUGCUGUUUGCGAUAUACAGCAAGCGGCCAAGCGAAAGCGUUAAGUAUUCCACCUGGGGAGUACGCCGGCAACGGUGAAACUCAAAGGAAUUGACGGGGGCCCGCACAAGCGGAGGAACAUGUGGUUUAAUUCGAUGAUACGCGAGGAACCUUACCCGGGCUUAAAUUGCAGAUGAAUUACGGUGAAAGCCGUAAGCCGCAAGGCAUCUGUGAAGGUGCUGCAUGGUUGUCGUCAGCUCGUGCCGUGAGGUGUCGGCUUAAGUGCCAUAACGAGCGCAACCCUUGUUGUCAGUUACUAACAGGUUCCGCUGAGGACUCUGACAAGACUGCCAUCGUAAGAUGUGAGGAAGGUGGGGAUGACGUCAAAUCAGCACGGCCCUUACGUCCGGGGCUACACACGUGUUACAAUGGGGGGUACAGAGGGCCGCUACCACGCGAGUGGAUGCCAAUCCCCAAAACCUCUCUCAGUUCGGACUGGAGUCUGCAACCCGACUCCACGAAGCUGGAUUCGCUAGUAAUCGCGCAUCAGCCACGGCGCGGUGAAUACGUUCCCGGGCCU
This 1358-nucleotide ribosomal RNA is filed under the name uncultured bacterium. RNAcentral describes it as "bacterial SSU rRNA". It matches the Rfam family "Bacterial small subunit ribosomal RNA", at positions 28 to 1381 of the family's 1533-position model. The record is from RNAcentral.